GGGGCCGUAGCUCAGUUGGGAGAGCGCAGCGUUCGCAACGCUGAGGUCAGGGGUUCAACUCCCCUCGGCUCCACCA
This 76-nucleotide transfer RNA is filed under the name Rhodospirillaceae bacterium. RNAcentral describes it as "tRNA-Ala". It matches the Rfam family "tRNA". Rfam says of the family: Transfer RNA (tRNA) molecules are approximately 80 nucleotides in length. Their secondary structure includes four short double-helical elements and three loops (D, anti-codon, and T loops). Lineage: Bacteria; Pseudomonadati; Pseudomonadota; Alphaproteobacteria; Rhodospirillales; Rhodospirillaceae. The record is from RNAcentral.